CACGUAGUUAGCCGGUGCUUCUUCUGCAGGUACCGUCACUUUCGCUUCUUCCCUGCUGAAAGAGGUUUACAACCCGAAGGCCGUCAUCCCUCACGCGGCGUCGCUGCAUCAGGCUUUCGCCCAUUGUGCAAUAUUCCCCACUGCUGCCUCCCGUAGGAGUCUGGGCCGUGUCUCAGUCCCAGUGUGGCCGGCCGCCCUCUCAGGCCGGCUACCCGUCGUCGCCUUGGUGAGCCAUUACCUCACCAACAAGCUGAUAGGCCGCGAGCCCAUCCCAAACCGAAAACUUUCCAGACCAUAACCAUGCGGCUUGAUCUCGUAUCCAGUAUUAGACGCCGUUUCCAGCGCUUAUUCCAGAGUCUGGGGCAGGUUGCUCACGUGUUACUCACCCGUUCGCCACUGAUCCACUCCAGCAAGCUGGAGCUUCACCGUUCGACUUGCAUGUGUUAAGCACGCCGCCAGCGUUGUCCUGAGCCAGGACUCAACUCUCUACG
RNAcentral lists this ribosomal RNA (491 nucleotides) under uncultured Janibacter sp. RNAcentral's name for it is "partial 16S ribosomal RNA". Lineage: Bacteria; Bacillati; Actinomycetota; Actinomycetes; Micrococcales; Intrasporangiaceae. The record is from RNAcentral.